CAUAAGAAACAUGCCAGUAUGUUUCACACACAGGGACAUCCACUCACAGAUGCAGAUGUUCCUACGUGAAGAAGAGUCUGCUUCUAGGAAAGAGGACUAAAGGACCAGAGUUUGUGGUGUCAUUGGAGUGGUGUAUCAACAUGAAAGAGAAUCUUCAAAAGAAAAAAUACCCAUCCCAGCACCCUCACAGGAUAAAUGCUAUCGCUUGCACCUUGUUCCUGACGUUAUUUAAAGUUGGCUGUGAUUAUGGGUUGUGCACAUCAUGUGGAUCAGGCUUUGUCGUGGGAGGGAGGCGUCCUGCCUCAUUGGGGACCAAACCAACAGGACAUGAUGAUGUGCAGAUGAGAAUCCUGUGCCUGGGAGUCGCCUCUCUCUGUUUUUUUCCAUAAACCAAGAGUCAGAGAGAUAGAUGUGGAUUUUCUUAGUAGUUUCUCCUCUUCCCAGGCAAUGUGCUAUUAUUAGAAUAGCCAGACUGGCCCGUAUAUAAAAAGAAGCCUAUUUGCUUGAGUUCUUCGAAGACCUGGGAGUUCAAAGUGCUUUGAAAUUAAAGGGAAAAAGUUAAAAGCAUUUUCUUACUCGAAGUCAUGGUUAGUAAACAUGUAGGGACCUUACAAAGGGUGGCAAAUGCCAACUCGUCUGUGUCCGCAUUGUUUAUGGCAUAGAUCACCAUUUGACAUCCGCUAAGCUGGGCAAGUGUCCUGACUGGGUGACAAAGGAGUAAGAGUUUAGGCUUGAGUCACACGGCUGGGUUCAAAUUGCACUUAUCAGUGUGAGCUUGGAAAAGCUAUUAACCUUCUCUGAACCUCAGUUUUCACAUCUAUACAAUAGGGUUGUUAUUAACUCCUACACUUGCAAGAUUCAAUUUAGGUAAUAUGUAUGAAACUGUGUAGUUUAGGAGACUACAUACAAAGAUUAACUUUAUUAUCAGCCCACUAUUAACUAUUGUUAUUUUACUACUAAUAAGCGUACUGUGGCUGUCUUUACUUGGGGAACAUAGGCCACAGCUUGCUGACUGGAAAGAACAUUACACUGGGCUCUUGGCAGAAGCUGUCCUUUCCUACAGUGGAGGGAUGGGUUGAAUUGAGUCUUCCAAAAAGAUAAAUUGAAGUCCUGACCUUUAGGACUUUAGAAUGUUAUCUAAUUUGGAAAUAGGGUCCUCGGAGAUGGAAUCCAGUUAAAAUGAGGUCUUUCUGAGGAGGUUAAUCCAGGAUGACUGGUGUCACUAAGAAGGGACAUAGGAAGAGAGAUGCCAAGCAAAGACCAUGUGACCUUGGAGGCAGAGGCUGGAGUGAUGGCGCUCCUGGCCACACCAGAAGCUGAGAGAGGCAUGGGACAGACAGUAAGGCCCUGCAGACACCUUGACUUCAGACUUCUAGAAGCUUCUAGAACUGAGACUGAGAGAAACAAUGCAAAAAAAAAAAAAAAA
Molecule: long non-coding RNA, 1426 nt
Organism: Chinchilla lanigera (long-tailed chinchilla)
Lineage: Eukaryota; Metazoa; Chordata; Mammalia; Rodentia; Chinchillidae
Exons: 2
Source: RefSeq, a predicted model, not a curated record